This 222-nucleotide ribosomal RNA is filed under the name uncultured bacterium. Its description in RNAcentral is "partial 16S ribosomal RNA". It matches the Rfam family "Bacterial small subunit ribosomal RNA", at positions 114 to 334 of the family's 1533-position model. The record is from RNAcentral.
CGCGUGAGGAACCUGCCUCAAAGAGGGGGACAACAGUUGGAAACGACUGCUAAUACCGCAUAAGCCCACAGCUCGGCAUCGAGCAGAGGGAAAAGGAGCAAUCCGCUUUGAGAUGGCCUCGCGUCCGAUUAGCUAGUUGGUGAGGUAACGGCCCACCAAGGCAACGAUCGGUAGCCGGACUGAGAGGUUGAACGGCCACAUUGGGACUGAGACACGGCCCAG